UGGGGAAUUUUCCGCAAUGGGGGCAACCCUGACGGAGCAAUACCGCGUGAGGGGGGAAGGCCCUUGGGUUGUAAACCUCUUUUCUCAGGGAAGAAGCAAGUGACGGUACCUGAGGAAUCAGCAUCGGCUAACUCCGUGCCAGCAGCCGCGGUAAUACGGAGGGAGCUAGCGUUGUUCGGAAUUACUGGGCGUAAAGCGCGCGUAGGCGGCCAUUCAAGUCAGAGGUGAAAGCCCGGGGCUCAACUCCGGAACUGCCUUUGAAACUAGAUGGCUAGAAUCCAGGAGAGGUGAGUGGAAUUCCGAGUGUAGAGGUGAAAUUCGUAGAUAUUCGGAAGAACACCAGUGGCGAAGGCGACUCACUGGACUGGUAUUGACGCUGAGGUGCGAAAGCGUGGGGAGCAAACAGGAUUAGAUACCCCCGUAGUCC
This 427-nucleotide ribosomal RNA is filed under the name uncultured prokaryote. RNAcentral describes it as "bacterial SSU rRNA". It matches the Rfam family "Bacterial small subunit ribosomal RNA", at positions 355 to 796 of the family's 1533-position model. The record is from RNAcentral.